CCGCAGUGCUGUGAGCUUUAUCCCGUAGCGAACGACUUCCGCUGGUACCUGGUCAGAAAUGAAACCGCUCAGAUUCGAGCUGGACCUGUGAUCAGGCGUUCCGUCGAGUGCUGUCCCAGUGCCGGAAACGUGAACGUUGAUGAGCAUUAUUUGGUGCUGUGUGAUGCAAAUAAUGGGAUGACUGAGUGGAUAUUUAAAGAUACGUUUCAAUAAGAUCAUCCCUCAUUCUGCUGAGCUCUAGUGGAUAUCGGCUCAACCUGAAUGAACGCUCUACAUCUGCUUAUACCAAGGAGGAAGAUGCUGCCAUGGUUACGAUAAAUGAUGUCAUAUGUGGGAGAUGGCGGAAAUCAUUGGGAUCUAUGGCAACCACAUCUGUAGCAAGUGUCUGAAGCUUGAGGAACAUCGACUAGGAGUUGAUGACCUGGAGUCCAAGGUUCCAAUACUGCAAUACAUCAGGGAGAAGGGAAGGGUCAGAAGGUCUGGCUAAGAUCUUUCCUGUGAAACAGCAACUAUUCCCUCGAUGUUCCAAGUUUCGGCUGCUGUAAAUUACCCCCUAAUCUACCCGGAAGGAAAAGGUAGCACUUGGAGGAAAUACGUGUGGUCACAGGGAGAACAUGAAAACUCCUCACAGAUACCACCUGAGGUCAGGCUCAACAACAGGGGGCCUUGGAACUGUGAGGCAGAAGAACUAACUGCUGCACCACCAGGCCUGAUGGUGAUUAAUUAAAUUGUAAGUUGCAAUAGGUGUACUCCUAUGUAGCCUAUAAAGACAAGCUUGGAGACUUGUACAUUAGCUCAGGACUAAUUUGGAAGGUGUCUGUCCGAGUAAAUAUAAUGUACAAAAUGUUUGAGAUUGGCCACAUAGAAUAUGUGGGACAGGAGAAUUGGCUUUGUGGCAGCCAUUACUCUCUGUAAAGUGCUUCAUGUAAGGACAUGGAUUUAAGCAGUUGCUGACAAACAAGCCUGAUCCACAAAUAUGACCAGUAUCAUAUAUGGAAUAUAGUAAAAAUCUGAGAGGUGGAUUGCCCAUCCCUUUUGCUGAUGAGAUGCUAAAAUCAAUGAGGAAGCUUUGAAAUAAAAGCAGAAAAUGCAUCAGAAUGGAUGAAAGGUUAUUCAAUGUGAACUCUGUUUCUCCCUCCAUGGCUGUUACCUGACCUACUGAGUGUUUCAAGCAUUUUCUGUUUUCAUUUCAGGUUUCCAGCAUCAAUGUACUAUCAAUUGAUGCCGGUACUUCUCUCACUCUACUUUAAAGAACCAUGCUAGGCAGUUCUCCAACCAAACAACUGGUCCUAACUGCACAAGUAGUUAGGAACUGAAUCAACUUAACAAGUGCUCUACCAUUUGUUGGUUAAGGUUCACUUAUUUUGUAGCAAGACAAGUCGGUACUCACUUUUCAGAAGCAGUCAUGAUGGUUGCACCAACUUUUUGUGCACAGAGGCAAGGCUUACAAUUUAUGACAAUCAGUGCUACCUUUGAAAAUAUGGAUUCUCAGAUCGUGGUCAUGUACUCUAAUCACUACAGUUUAGCAACACUAUGACCACUUUGCACUAAAAUGGACUUUGUUUUUUAUUGUUCUAAUUGUGUUCUUUCUUGUAAAAAUUGGUAUAAUUUAUGUUUAAUUAAUGUUUUUCUUGUGAAUGCUGCCUAUAUGAUGCUAUGUGCCUGUGAUGAUGCUGCAAGUAAGUUUUUCAUUGUACCUGUGUAUACAUGUACUUAUGCAUAUUGGCAAUAAACUCGACUUUGACUACUAUUGUACAUUAUAAACACAGGCACAAUGAGAUGCAUACAUUUAGACAAGCAGAACAUUUUGAAGAUCUGAAUUGAACUUGGGACCAUUUGGAAUGCCAGCUGCUUAAGGUUUCAAAAAUUGUGGUGGUGCAUUUAAUAUUCCUAAUUUCUGGUUUAAGAAUCACAAGUUCAAUAGCAGAGUAUGCCCAACAUUGGAAUUCAUAUAAGAUAGAAACUUUCUUACAGUUCCCAAAACAAAUUAAAGUAACUUCCACUGAUGGUUAUAACUUGUGUCAGUAUUCUUGCAGAUGUUAUGACCUUCACCACUUCUAUCCUCCCUCAGACUUGAGGUCCCCAAUACAAUAUUGUGCUACAUUAGAUUAUUUUAUCUAGGACAGAUUUUAGCAUAAAGUUCAUCAUCUGUUCAUCUAAGUACCAAUAAUUACAGUCAUUUCUAUCACAUAACUAAAUAUGUAUCUAGGUCAGAAAAGAUUAAAAAGGAAAAUGACAAGUCAGACCAGUGUGCAAGUAAAUUACAUAAUAAGGCAUUUAACAAAUUACAUAAAAGAUAAUGAUGCAGAUUUGAUCUAUUGGGUACUCUAAUUAUUCCUAUUUCCAUGAUGCUAUGAUUCAUUUUACUCAUUUUAUUUCCUGAGAAUCAUUUGAAAAUAUUCCUGUUACCAUGGCAUAGUUGAAUUAUUCUGACAUUGAGCAAUCAGACAACAUCGACUAUCUUUCAAGGUAUGUCUGUUAAACAUGAAAAAUAAUAUAAUAGUACAAAUUGUGCAAAUACUGUUAUACUGCAUGUAAACAUUUCAACUGAUGCAACUCAAAUUCUUCUAUUGUUUAUAAUUUAAAGCAGCAUGUUUUAAAUUUUAGAAAUACCAUCAGAUCAUGUAAUGUGUCAUCUCUAUCAGAUCUAGCCUGUAAACUGAGUUGGCCGUGCUUUCUCAUGUAAUUAAGGAGAUAACACAAAAGCAUGGGCAACUAUUGUGUGCUGGUAAGUUAAGAUAUGCAGGUUGAAUUUUGUAGCAUGUCCUAGACUCUGUGCAAAUGUGUUGAAUAUUAAAUAAGUCCCUGCACAGUAUGGAAGGGAGGAGGGCAAUUAGAUAAAAUGGUCUUUCGGCAUAAAAUGAGAAGGGGAGUGGAUUUCUAAUUUAUUUGUCUGUGUCAGAGAGAGUAAGUACUCUUCCUUGGAAUGGAAGUGGUUAAACUAACUACCAAUGUUAUGACUGUCAAGAUGCUCAUUGUUCUUCCUUAUUUUUCAAUGGACGUAUUCAUGAACUUCACCAUAAAAGGGUUUGUAUUGUUUAUAGGCAUGGCAGAAUUUUAAAAAAAGACUAGUAAAAAUAUUUAUGCAAUCGUAAUCACAAAUAAUCUUGGUAUGCUUUGGACAACAGUGAGAAUUAUGGAGGCAGUUUGAUGUGCAACUUCUGCAGGUGGAAUCCUGAAAAAAUGGCUUUUUUUCCCCCAGGAUUCUUACCAAUCUACUGCCCACACUGUAAUAGGAGAUUGGGAGAAAUUUUGUGACUUUUCUUGAACACAAUCUUGUGCCCUUAAGUACUGUUUUAAUUAUUGUCUUUGUCAUCAGGCAAAAGCAGUGGUUCCUUAUUUCAAAAGUGCUUGUUGUGAAGAGGGAAUUGAUUUGUUGACAAAAUCAAUAGUCUGCUACUUGUAAGCCAUAGUGGCAACAAACUAAGAGGGAUGCUGAAUGUUAUUGGGUACAUCCAAAAACAACUAUUCCCUAUGUGCCAAAUUUUAAUUAAUCUGCUUAUACAGUGAUGAUAUAAUUAAUGCUACUUUAAACAGACUUUAUGUGGACAUUAAAUAAAUGCUAUUAGCAGCUUUCCCAAAAGUAGCAUAUUUUUCCUACAUUGGUUUAAAUGAUCCUUGUUUUUUCUUGUAAAGCUGGUGAUGGGCUGAAAAUCUGUGUGAAUAAAUGUGCUUUACUGCUUGAGAUGAAUGUAUAAACUGGCAUAUGAUUGAUUGUUUGUGACUUUAGAUAUUAUGUGGGUGAAUAGUACUGGGCGAUUUAAUGUGCAGAUGACUGUGCAGGAGAGAUAGU
Molecule: long non-coding RNA, 3793 nt
Organism: Pristis pectinata (smalltooth sawfish)
Lineage: Eukaryota; Metazoa; Chordata; Chondrichthyes; Rhinopristiformes; Pristidae
Exons: 6
Source: RefSeq, a predicted model, not a curated record